RNAcentral lists this transfer RNA (76 nucleotides) under Nonomuraea rubra. RNAcentral's name for it is "tRNA-Leu". It matches the Rfam family "tRNA". Rfam says of the family: Transfer RNA (tRNA) molecules are approximately 80 nucleotides in length. Lineage: Bacteria; Bacillati; Actinomycetota; Actinomycetes; Streptosporangiales; Streptosporangiaceae. RNAcentral also lists the same sequence under 1 other name. The record is from RNAcentral.
GCGUCCGUAGCCCAAUGGGAGAGGCACCGGCCUAAGGAGCCGGACGGUGCGGGUUCGAAUCCCGCCGGACGUACCA